CGGGAAAAGCUCAAAUUUAAAAUCUGGCGGUUUCACCGUCCGAGUUGUAAUUUAGAGAAGUGUUGCCCGUGCUGGACCGUGUACAAGUCUCUUGGAAUGGAGCGUCGUGGAGGGUGAGAAUCCCGUACAUGACACGGACUGCCAGGACAUUGUGGUACGCUCUCGAA
Molecule: ribosomal RNA, 167 nt
Filed under: Mycena sp.
Lineage: Eukaryota; Fungi; Basidiomycota; Agaricomycetes; Agaricales; Mycenaceae
Description: partial large subunit ribosomal RNA
Rfam family: Eukaryotic large subunit ribosomal RNA
Source: RNAcentral